RNAcentral lists this ribosomal RNA (253 nucleotides) under uncultured bacterium. RNAcentral describes it as "partial 16S ribosomal RNA". It matches the Rfam family "Bacterial small subunit ribosomal RNA", at positions 524 to 776 of the family's 1533-position model. The record is from RNAcentral.
UACGAAGGGGGCUAGCGUUGUUCGGAAUUACUGGGCGUAAAGCGCGCGUAGGCGGCGCGUUAAGUCAGGUGUGAAAGCCCUGGGCUCAACCCAGGAAUUGCAUUUGAUACUGACGAGCUUGAAUCCGGAAGAGGAUAACGGAAUUCCCAGUGUAGAGGUGAAAUUCAUAGAUAUUGGGAAGAACACCAGUGGCGAAGGCGGCCAACUGGUCCGGUAUUGACGCUGAGGUGCGAAAGCGUGGGGAGCAAACAGG